AACCUCAGUCAAGCCUCAUGGGACACGGGCUUACUUGGGUCGGGCUUAAAAGUAUCGUUUUUAAAUGGCAUCUAAAAAUCUUAGUCCAACCCUAUUAAAUCAUGGGAUGGGUUAGGUCGGCCCAGCGUGCCAAGCCCAUAUUGACAGCUCUAAUCUACAGUGACAGCAAAACAUCUAUACAAAUAGCUGCAAAUCCAGUUUAUCACGAAAGAACCAAGCAUAUUAAAAUCGACUGUCAUAUUAUGAGAGAAAAAAAUUCAACAGGGACUAGUUACUACCAAAUACAUUGCAACAACAUAUCAAUUUGUUGAUAUUCUCACAAAAGGGACUAAUCAAAGUGCAGCAUGAGUAUUUAAAUCCAAGCUAGGUGUGUUCAAAUUUUUUCACCACCUAGCUUGUGGGGCAUUAAUGUUAAAUAAUGUGAGGGUAUAAAAGUCUUUGUAUAGAGUAGUUGUUAAUUAGCCGUUAAUUACUGUUAGGAGUUAAUUAAGUUGUUAGAAAUACAGUGUUGAAUAAAGUGUAUAAAGUAAGUGGAGUUCUUGUAUUCUGUAAGUUUUUGAGUAAUGAAAAUUGGUAUACAUUUCCUACGUCUCUCUCUAUCUCUCACCGAGUGUGUCUUCUUCUUCCUUAUAAAGCAAGCUCCAACCAUAGCUAUACAGCCACUGGUGUUUGCCCAAUUAACUUUUAUGAGUUGCCCAAACCUGUAAAUGACAUAAUAAGAGUCUAAAACAAUACCCAGGCCAACAGAGUAGCAAACAAGUCCUACUUACAGAUGUCUCCCAUUAAGAGAGAUUAUCACCUGUCCAGCUGAUCUACGAUCAGAAUAAUGAACAAAAUUAUAGGAAAUAUGGCCCAGGAAACACAAGAAAAGAGGAGACUCAAAGAAAUUAUACAGACGCCACAUGAAAAUUACGUAAUCGGCACAAGAAGAAGUACCUUUUCCUUCCUUGCAAGCUUGUUUGCCUCACCGAGACGAGUACUCGGAAAAACUUCUCGACUUUUGGGUGAAUGCAUUUUCUCACAAGUAAAAGAAAUUAGUUUAAACCACACAGUUCAGUUGUUUCUUCACUUUGAACAGGCGAUAUAGGGUUUUUAGUUGGGGAAAAAAGAGAAAAUGCCCAAAAUAAUCCGGUAUCUUUGGC
RNAcentral lists this long non-coding RNA (1142 nucleotides) under Nicotiana tabacum (common tobacco). Its description in RNAcentral is "long non-coding RNA (NTAB_LNC006149)". Lineage: Eukaryota; Viridiplantae; Streptophyta; Magnoliopsida; Solanales; Solanaceae. The record is from RNAcentral.